GUAUCACCACAGGGGUGUCGCAUAAUGCUGCGGCUGAGAUUUGGGCGACAAGCCCACGGACCCUCAAAGCUGAUCUGGAUAAUGCCAGCGUAGCAAGGAGGACUGAUAUGUUUG
This 114-nucleotide non-coding RNA is filed under the name Octadecabacter antarcticus. RNAcentral's name for it is "TPP sequence". It matches the Rfam family "TPP riboswitch aptamer (THI element)". From Rfam's summary of the family: Vitamin B(1) in its active form thiamin pyrophosphate (TPP) is an essential coenzyme that is synthesised by coupling of pyrimidine and thiazole moieties in bacteria. The previously detected thiamin-regulatory element, thi box was extended, resulting in a new, highly conserved RNA secondary structure, the THI element, which is widely distributed in eubacteria and also occurs in some archaea. Lineage: Bacteria; Pseudomonadati; Pseudomonadota; Alphaproteobacteria; Rhodobacterales; Roseobacteraceae. The record is from RNAcentral.